Molecule: long non-coding RNA, 372 nt
Filed under: Manihot esculenta (cassava)
Lineage: Eukaryota; Viridiplantae; Streptophyta; Magnoliopsida; Malpighiales; Euphorbiaceae
Description: long non-coding RNA (MESC_LNC004061)
Source: RNAcentral
GGCCUAAUCGCCCUGACAAAACGUUUUCAGGAAAGCAGUUUUCAUGAGCUAGUCAGGAGGCCUAAUCGCCCUGACAAAAUGUUUUCAGGAAGUUAGUCAGGAGGCCUAAUCGCCCUGACAAAAUGUUUUCAUGAGCUAGUCAGGAGGCCUAAUCGCCCUGACAAAACGUUUUCAGAAAUCAGUCAGGAGGCCUAAUCGCCCUGACAAAUAUGUUUUCAGAAAGUUAAGUACAAAAGAAAUUUUACAAGUGAGUCAGUUAGGAAGAGGGCUAUAGGUGACAACUUCUUCCUUGAUGUGUAUUAUUGUAAUGUGAAGUAUGACAUAAGAGCAUGUGUUUUAAUGAAUGGUUUUUAUGGAUUCCACUCACUGGGC